This 1231-nucleotide ribosomal RNA is filed under the name metagenome. Its description in RNAcentral is "bacterial LSU rRNA". It matches the Rfam family "Bacterial large subunit ribosomal RNA", at positions 1717 to 2925 of the family's 2925-position model. The record is from RNAcentral.
AAAAAAUGACACCGUAACUUCGGGAGAAGGUGUGCCCUCUGUACGUGAAGCCCCUUGCGGGUGGAGCGGAAGAGGGUUGCAGAGAAACGGGGGUAGCGACUGUUUACCAAAAACCCAGCACUGUGCGAAGUCGGAAGACGACGUAUACGGUGUGAUGCCUGCCCGGUGCCGGAAGGUUAAGGGGAGUUGUCAGCCGCAAGGCAAAGCAGCGAACCGAAGCCCCGGUAAACGGCGGCCGUAACGAUAACGGUCCUAAGGUAGCGAAAUUCCUUGUCGGGUAAGUUCCGACCUGCACGAAUGGCAUAACGACUUCCCCACUGUCUCGAGCAGGGACUCAGCGAAGUAGCACUAGGGGUGAAGAUACCUUUUACCCGCGGCAGGACGGAAAGACCCCGUGAACCUUUACUGUAACUUGGCACUGAACUUCGGGUUCGUUUGCGUAGGAUAGGUGGGACGCUAGGAAGCAUGGACUCCGGUCUGUGUGGAGCGGCCGUUGAAAUACCACCCUGGCGAAUCUGGAGUUCUAACCUGCACCCGUGAGCCGGGUGGGGGACAAUGCCUGGUGGGCAGUUUGACUGGGGCGGUCGCCUCCCAAAGAGUAACGGAGGCGCGCGAAGGUUCCCUCAGGCUGAUUGGAAACCAGCCGACGAGUGUAAUGGCAUAAGGGAGCUUGACUGCGAGACUGACAAGUCGAGCAGGUGCGAAAGCAGGUCAUAGUGAUCCGGUGGUUCUGAAUGGAAGGGCCAUCGCUCAACGGAUAAAAGGUACUCCGGGGAUAACAGGCUUAUCACGCCCAAGAGUUCACAUCGACGGCGUGGUUUGGCACCUCGAUGUCGGCUCAUCGCAUCCUGGGGCUGAAGUUGGUCCCAAGGGUUUGGCUGUUCGCCAAUUAAAGCGGUACGCGAGCUGGGUUCAAAACGUCGUGAGACAGUUUGGUCCCUAUCCGCCGUGGGCGCAGGACGCUUGAGAGGAUCUGUCCUUAGUACGAGAGGACCGGGAUGGACGGACCGCUAGUGUUCCGGUUGUGGCGCCAGCUGCAAUGCCGGGUAGCUAUGUUCGGAAGGGAUAACCGCUGAAAGCAUCUAAGCGGGAAGCCCACCUCGAGAUAAGGCGUCCCUGAGACUUCGGUCUCCUGAAGACCCCAUGUAGACCACGUGGUUGAUAGGCUGGGUGUGGAAGCGCUGCAAGGCGCGGAGCUAACCAGUACUAAUCGGUCGUGAGGCUUGACCAC